AUUAUACAUGAUUCUCAAUCAUGUGGUUCAGUCUCUAAUUUGAGUUCGGACCUUGAUGAGACCUUGAUUCCCAGGCUUGAGCUAUCGCCCCAUUAAAUAGUGUCAGUUACACUAUAUACACUUUCUGGUUGGAACCGAAUAGAGUUCAUAAAUGAACUUUCCCAUCCAAACAACAUUGUUGUAAGCUUCCAUAUGGCAAUAUAUUUUGCAUUCAUAAU
RNAcentral lists this long non-coding RNA (218 nucleotides) under Malus domestica (apple). RNAcentral's name for it is "long non-coding RNA (MDOM_LNC001848)". The record is from RNAcentral. Lineage: Eukaryota; Viridiplantae; Streptophyta; Magnoliopsida; Rosales; Rosaceae.